RNAcentral lists this long non-coding RNA (333 nucleotides) under Vigna radiata. RNAcentral describes it as "long non-coding RNA (VRAD_LNC015000)". Lineage: Eukaryota; Viridiplantae; Streptophyta; Magnoliopsida; Fabales; Fabaceae. The record is from RNAcentral.
GUGAGAAAUUCCUUGAUUAAGAAAUACCAACCUAGGGAUAGGGGGUAGGAUGAUCAAUUGUUUUUGCUUCUGUUUUUAAUGCAUUAUUGAUUGCUAGGGGAGGCUAGGGAUAGCAAGCCGGUAAUUAGUAAUAAGCACUUUUCGCCGUGGGAUCGGGUUAAGGGUAGACCAAGAAAGUUUGCAUAACAAUUAGAUAAUCAAGCACAUUAAACAAGAGGAGUAGAUAAGAGGGAACGGAUAAGAUGAAAUUGUAAACCCCCACCAACUCCAUUCAUCCAUAGUCUUUUUUGUCAAUUGAAUCAAACCCAUUGCAUGUUUAUUUUCUGUCUUUUC